This 450-nucleotide ribosomal RNA is filed under the name uncultured bacterium. RNAcentral's name for it is "partial 16S ribosomal RNA". It matches the Rfam family "Bacterial small subunit ribosomal RNA", at positions 354 to 796 of the family's 1533-position model. The record is from RNAcentral.
GUGGGGAAUAUUGGACAAUGGGCGAAAGCCUGAUCCAGCCAUGCCGCGUGUGUGAAGAAGGUCUUCGGAUUGUAAAGCACUUUAAGUUGGGAGGAAGGGCAGUAAGUUAAUACCUUGCUGUUUUGACGUUACCGACAGAAUAAGCACCGGCUAACUUCGUGCCAGCAGCCGCGGUAAUACGAAGGGUGCAAGCGUUAAUCGGAAUUACUGGGCGUAAAGCGCGCGUAAGUGGUUUUGUAAGUUGGAGGUGAAAUCCCCGGGCUCAACCUGGGAACUGCCUCCAAAAAUGCAUGACUAGAGUACGGUAGAGGGUAGUGGAAUUUCCUGUGUAGCGGUGAAAUGCGUAGAUAUAGGAAGGAACACCAGUGGCGAAGGCGACUACCUGGACUGAUACUGACACUGAGGUGCGAAAGCGUGGGGAGCAAACAGGAUUAGAAACCCUGGUAGUCC